RNAcentral lists this ribosomal RNA (429 nucleotides) under Bacteroidota bacterium. Its description in RNAcentral is "Bacteroidetes bacterium partial 16S ribosomal RNA". It matches the Rfam family "Bacterial small subunit ribosomal RNA", at positions 355 to 776 of the family's 1533-position model. The record is from RNAcentral. Lineage: Bacteria; Pseudomonadati; Bacteroidota.
UAGGGAAUCUUCCGCAAUGGACGCAAGUCUGACGGAGCAACGCCGCGUGAGUGAAGAAGGAUUUCGGUUCGUAAAACUCUGUUGUUAGAGAAGAACAGCGCAUAGAGUAACUGUUAUGCGUGUGACGGUAUCUAACCAGAAAGCCACGGCUAACUACGUGCCAGCAGCCGCGGUAAUACGUAGGUGGCAAGCGUUGUCCGGAUUUAUUGGGCGUAAAGCGAGCGCAGGCGGUCAAUUAAGUCUGAUGUGAAAGCCCCCGGCUCAACCGGGGAGGGUCAUUGGAAACUGGUUGACUUGAGUGCAGAAGAGGGGAGUGGAAUUCCAUGUGUAGCGGUGAAAUGCGUAGGUAUAUGGAGGAACACCAGUGGCGAAGGCGACUCUCUGGUCUGUAACUGACGCUGAGGCUCGAAAGCGUGGGUAGCAAACAGG